Molecule: ribosomal RNA, 460 nt
Filed under: uncultured bacterium
Lineage: Bacteria
Description: partial 16S ribosomal RNA
Rfam family: Bacterial small subunit ribosomal RNA
Source: RNAcentral
CCUACGGGAGGCAGCAGUGAGGAAUAUUGGUCAAUGGGCGAGAGCCUGAACCAGCCAAGUCGCGUGAAGGAUGACGGCCCUACGGGUUGUAAACUUCUUUUGUCAGGGGGCAAUUUGGUCCACGCGUGGGCUUAGCGAGAUUACCUGAAGAAAAAGCAUCGGCUAACUCCGUGCCAGCAGCCGCGGUAAUAGGGAGGAUGCGAGCGUUAUCCGGAUUUAGUGGGUUUAAAGGGUGCUUAGGCGGAAUAUCAAGUCGGCGGUAAAAACUCGGGGCUCAACCCCGUCGUGCCGUUGAAACUGGUGUGCUUGAGUGGGCGAGAAGUAUGCGGAAUGCGUGGUGUAGCGGUGAAAUGCAUAGAUAUCACGCAGAACUCCGAUUGCGAAGGCAGCAUACCGGCGCCCAACUGACGCUGAAGCACGAAAGCGUGGGUAUCGAACAGGAUUAGAUACCCCAGUAGUC